RNAcentral lists this ribosomal RNA (320 nucleotides) under uncultured Aerococcus sp. Its description in RNAcentral is "bacterial SSU rRNA". It matches the Rfam family "Bacterial small subunit ribosomal RNA", at positions 349 to 662 of the family's 1533-position model. Lineage: Bacteria; Bacillati; Bacillota; Bacilli; Lactobacillales; Aerococcaceae. The record is from RNAcentral.
UAGCAGUAGGGAAUCUUCCACAAUGGGCGAAAGCCUGAUGGAGCAACGCCGCGUGAGUGAAGAAGGAUUUCGGUUCGUAAAACUCUGUUGUAAGGGAAGAACAAGUACAGUAGUAACUGGCUGUACCUUGACGGUACCUUAUUAGAAAGCCACGGCUAACUACGUGCCAGCAGCCGCGGUAAUACGUAGGUGGCAAGCGUUGUCCGGAAUUAUUGGGCGUAAAGCGCGCGCAGGUGGUUUUUUAAGUCUGAUGUGAAAGCCCACGGCUCAACCGUGGAGGGUCAUUGGAAACUGGAGACUUGAAGGCCAGAAAGGGGAAA